UACCUGCAGUCGACGGUGAUAUCAGGGCUUGCUCUGGUUGAUCAGUGGCGAACGGGUGAGUAACACGUGAGUAACCUGCCCCAGACUCUGGGAUAACUUCGGGAAAUCGGAGCUAAUACCGGAUAUGAGACGUCCUCGCAUGGGGAGCGUCUGGAAAGAUUUAUCGGUCUGGGAUGGACUCGCGGCCUAUCAGCUUGUUGGUGAGGUAAUGGCUCACCAAGGCGACGACGGGUAGCCGGCCUGAGAGGGCGACCGGCCACACUGGGACUGAGAUACGGCCCAGACUCCUACGGGAGGCAGCAGUGGGGAAUAUUGCACAAUGGGCGAAAGCCUGAUGCAGCGACGCCGCGUGAGGGAUGAAGGCCUUCGGGUUGUAAACCUCUUUCAGCAGGGAAGAAGCGAAAGUGACGGUACCUGCAGAAGAAGCGCCGGCUAACUACGUGCCAGCAGCCGCGGUAAUACGUAGGGCGCAAGCGUUGUCCGGAAUUAUUGGGCGUAAAGAGCUCGUAGGCGGUCUGUCGCGUCUGUUGUGAAAACUCGAGGCUCAACCUCGGGCUUGCAGUGGAUACGGGCAGACUAGAGUGCGGUAGGGGAGACUGGAAUUCCUGGUGUAGCGGUGGAAUGCGCAGAUAUCAGGAGGAACACCGAUGGCGAAGGCAGGUCUCUGGGCCGCAACUGACGCUGAGGAGCGAAAGCAUGGGGAGCGAACAGGA
Molecule: ribosomal RNA, 713 nt
Filed under: uncultured bacterium
Lineage: Bacteria
Description: bacterial SSU rRNA
Rfam family: Bacterial small subunit ribosomal RNA
Source: RNAcentral